Molecule: ribosomal RNA, 447 nt
Filed under: uncultured bacterium
Lineage: Bacteria
Description: bacterial SSU rRNA
Rfam family: Bacterial small subunit ribosomal RNA
Source: RNAcentral
UGGGGAAUAUUGGACAAUGGGCGCAAGCCUGAUCCAGCCAUGCCGCGUGAGUGACGAAGGCCUUAGGGUUGUAAAGCUCUUUCGGCGGGGAAGAUAAUGACGGUACCCGCAGAAGAAGCCCCGGCUAACUCUGUGCCAGCAGCCGCGGUAAUACAGAGGGUGCGAGCGUUAAUCGGAAUUACUGGGCGUAAAGCGCACGUAGGUGGCGACGUAAGUCGGGUGUGAAAGCCCCGGGCUCAACCUGGGAACCGCAUUCGAGACUGCGUUGCUGGAGUACGGAAGAGGAGGGCGGAAUUCCCGGUGUAGCGGUGAAAUGCGUAGAUAUCGGGAGGAACAUCAGUGGCGAAGGCGGCCCUCUGGUCCAGUACUGACACUCAAGUGCGAAAGCGUGGGGAGCAAACAGGAUUAGAUACCCCCGUAGUCCCUGAGCGGGCUGGCAAGGCGCAU